ACGAACGCUGGCGGCGUGCUUAACCCCUGCAAGUCGCACGGUAAGGCCCCUUCGGGGGUACACGAGUGGCGAACGGGUGAGUAACACGUGAGCAACCUGCCCUUGACUCUGGAAUAACAGUUGGAAACAGCUGCUAAUACUGGAUAUUCAUCGUCUCCUUCCUGGGGGGUGGUGGAAAGCUCCGGCGGUCAGGGAUGGGCUCGCGGCCUAUCAGCUUGUUGGUGAGGUAAUGGCUCACCAAGGCUUCGACGGGUAGCCGGCCUGAGAGGGCGACCGGCCACACUGGGACUGAGAUACGGCCCAGACUCCUACGGGAGGCAGCAGUGGGGAAUAUUGCACAAUGGGCGCAAGCCUGAUGCAGCAACGCCGCGUGCGGGAUGACGGCCUUCGGGUUGUAAACCGCUUUCAGUAGGGACGAAGGGUGACUGACGGUACCUACAGAAGAAGGACCGGCUAACUACGUG
This 464-nucleotide ribosomal RNA is filed under the name uncultured bacterium. Its description in RNAcentral is "partial 16S ribosomal RNA". It matches the Rfam family "Bacterial small subunit ribosomal RNA", at positions 29 to 507 of the family's 1533-position model. The record is from RNAcentral.